CCGGAGCUAACGCGUUAAGUCGACCGCCUGGGGAGUACGGCCGCAAGGUUAAAACUCAAAUGAAUUGACGGGGGCCCGCACAAGCGGUGGAGCAUGUGGUUUAAUUCGAUGCAACGCGAAGAACCUUACCUGGUCUUGACAUCCACGGAAGUUUUCAGAGAUGAGAAUGUGCCUUCGGGAACCGUGAGACAGGUGCUGCAUGGCUGUCGUCAGCUCGUGUUGUGAAAUGUUGGGUUAAGUCCCGCAACGAGCGCAACCCUUAUCCUUUGUUGCCAGCGGUCCGGCCGGGAACUCAAAGGAGACUGCCAGUGAUAAACUGGAGGAAGGUGGGGAUGACGUCAAGUCAUCAUGGCCCUUACGACCAGGGCUACACACGUGCUACAAUGGCGCAUACAAAGAGAAGCGACCUCGCGAGAGCAAGCGGACCUCAUAAAGUGCGUCGUAGUCCGGAUUGGAGUCUGCAACUCGACUCCAUGAAGUCGGAAUCGCUAGUAAUCGUGGAUCAGAAUGCCACGGUGAAUACGUUCCCGGGCCUUGUACACACCGCCCGUCACACCAUGGGAGUGGGUUGCAAAAGAAGUAGGUAGCUUAACCUUCGGGAGGGCGCUUACCACUUUGUGAUUCAUGACUGGGGUGAAGUCGUAACAAGGUAACCGUAGGGGAACCUGCGGU
Molecule: ribosomal RNA, 672 nt
Filed under: Escherichia coli
Lineage: Bacteria; Pseudomonadati; Pseudomonadota; Gammaproteobacteria; Enterobacterales; Enterobacteriaceae
Description: bacterial SSU rRNA
Rfam family: Bacterial small subunit ribosomal RNA
Source: RNAcentral